AGACCAUACUGGCAAAUAACAAUCACUGAGAGUCUUCCCCAAAAUAACAAAAAGCAAGUUGCAAAAUCCCAUUCAAGAGAUACAAGAACUUCCAAUGAUAAACUGUGAACUCAGCUGUGCAGGGAGAAGCUGAAUGGCUCAAAGCAAGCAUUUUGACGCUAUUAAUGA
This is a long non-coding RNA of Nothoprocta perdicaria, 168 nucleotides long. RefSeq lists it as uncharacterized. The transcript has 3 exons. The record is from RefSeq and is a predicted model, not a curated record. Lineage: Eukaryota; Metazoa; Chordata; Aves; Tinamiformes; Tinamidae.